This 513-nucleotide ribosomal RNA is filed under the name uncultured bacterium. RNAcentral describes it as "partial 16S ribosomal RNA". It matches the Rfam family "Bacterial small subunit ribosomal RNA", at positions 28 to 523 of the family's 1533-position model. The record is from RNAcentral.
GACGAACGCUGGCGGCAUGCCUAAUACAUGCAAGUCGAGCGAACAGAUGAAGUGCUUGCACUUCUGACGUUAGCGGCGAACGGGUGAGUAACACGUAAGGAAUCUACCUAUAAGCGGGGGAUAACAUUCGGAAACGGGUGCUAAUACCGCAUACUAUCUUCUUCCGCAUGGAAGAAGAUUGAAAGACGGCUCUGCUGUCACUUAUAGAUGACCUUGCGGUGCAUUAGUUAGUUGGUGGGGUAAUGGCCUACCAAGACGAUGAUGCAUAGCCGACCUGAGAGGGGGAUCGGCCACAUUGGGACUGAGACACGGCCCAAACUCCUACGGGAGGCAGCAGUAGGGAAUCUUCCGCAAUGGGCGAAAGCCUGACGGAGCAAUGCCGCGGGAGUGAAGAAGGCCUUCGGGUCGUAAAACUCUGUUAUAAGAGAAGAACAAAUUGUAGAGUAACUGCUACAGUCUUGACGGUAUCUUAUCAGAAAGCCACGGCUAACUACGUGCCAGCAGCCGCAGUAA